CAUGCAAGUGGUAGGAAGCCGAAAGGUGACCGACCUUCGGGAGCUUGCACAGGUGCUGCAUGGCUGUCGUCAGCUCGUGUCGUGAGAUGUUCGGUUAAGUCCGCUAACGAGCGCAACCCUCGCUGUGUGUUAUAUGUGUCACACGGGACUGCCGGUCUUAAGCCGGAGGAAGUGGGGAUGAUGUCAAGUCAGCAUGGCCUUUAUAUCCUGGGCUACACACACGCUACAAUGGCCAACACAAUAGGUUGCUAAGCCGCGAGGUGGCGCCAAUCCAUAAAGUUGGUCUCAGUUCAGAUUGUAGGCUGCAACCCGCCUGCAUGAAGAUGGAGUUGCUAGUAACCGCAGGUCAGCUAUACUGCGGUGAAUACGUUCCCGGGGCUU
This 381-nucleotide ribosomal RNA is filed under the name uncultured Leptolinea sp. RNAcentral's name for it is "bacterial SSU rRNA". It matches the Rfam family "Bacterial small subunit ribosomal RNA", at positions 985 to 1382 of the family's 1533-position model. Lineage: Bacteria; Bacillati; Chloroflexota; Anaerolineae; Anaerolineales; Anaerolineaceae. The record is from RNAcentral.